AUUGAACGCUGGCGGCAUGCCUUACACAUGCAAGUCGAACGGCAGCGGGGGAGAAGCUUGCUUUUCCUGCCGGCGAGCGGCGAACGGGUGAGUAAUACAUCGGAACGUGCCCUGUAGUGGGGGAUAACUAGUCGAAAGAUUAGCUAAUACCGCAUACGACCUGAGGGUGAAAGUGGGGGACCGCAAGGCCUCAUGCUAUAGGAGCGGCCGAUGUCUGAUUAGCUAGUUGGUGGGGUAAAGGCCUACCAAGGCGACGAUCAGUAGCUGGUCUGAGAGGACGAUCAGCCACACUGGGACUGAGACACGGCCCAGACUCCUACGGGAGGCAGCAGUGGGGAAUUUUGGACAAUGGGCGAAAGCCUGAUCCAGCAAUGCCGCGUGUGUGAAGAAGGCCUUCGGGUUGUAAAGCACUUUUGUCCGGAAAGAAAUGGCUCUGGUUACUACCUGGGGUCGAUGACGGUACCGGAAGAAUAAGGACCGGCUAACUACGUGCCAGCCGCCGCAGUAA
RNAcentral lists this ribosomal RNA (508 nucleotides) under uncultured bacterium. Its description in RNAcentral is "partial 16S ribosomal RNA". It matches the Rfam family "Bacterial small subunit ribosomal RNA", at positions 30 to 523 of the family's 1533-position model. The record is from RNAcentral.